AAGCUUGAACGAAGCCGACGUUCGGGUUGGGGGAUGAAUCCUUUAUGGUUUGUAACCCCCUUUUUAUCAAGGGAAGAAUAUGACGGUACUUUGAGAAGAAGGCCCCGGCCACUACUUGCCAGCAGCACACGGUAAUAUUUAGGGGGCGAGGGUUGUCCGGAUUUAUUGGGCGUAAAGGGCUCGUAGGCGGCUUGGUCAAGUCGUCUGUGAAAAAACAGGGCUCAACCCUGGGACGGCCGGUCGAUACUGCCAUGGCUAGGGUCCGGUAGAGGGGAAUGGAAUUCCCGGUGUAGGCGGUGAAAUGCGCAGAUAUCGGGAGGAACACCAGUAGCGAAGGCGGUUCCUUGGGCGGGCACCGACGCUGAGGAGCGAAAGCGUGGGGAGCAAACAGGAUUAGAUACCCUGGUAGUCCACGCCGUA
RNAcentral lists this ribosomal RNA (420 nucleotides) under uncultured marine bacterium. RNAcentral describes it as "bacterial SSU rRNA". It matches the Rfam family "Bacterial small subunit ribosomal RNA", at positions 379 to 804 of the family's 1533-position model. The record is from RNAcentral.